This 776-nucleotide ribosomal RNA is filed under the name uncultured Neocallimastigales. Its description in RNAcentral is "partial large subunit ribosomal RNA". It matches the Rfam family "Eukaryotic large subunit ribosomal RNA", at positions 26 to 647 of the family's 3401-position model. The record is from RNAcentral. Lineage: Eukaryota; Fungi; Neocallimastigomycota; Neocallimastigomycetes; Neocallimastigales.
CGCAUCUGUGCAUGCAGCAUAUCAAUAAGCGGAGGAAAAGAAACUAACAAGGAUUCCCCUAGUAACGGCGAGUGAAGCGGGAAGAGCUCAAAUUUGAAAUCUUAAAGGGUUUCCCUUUACGAAUUGUAGUUCAAAGAAGUGUUUUCUGUUGAGGUUUUGGUAAAAGUUCUUUGGAAUAGGACAUCAUAGAGGGUGAGAAUCCCGUAUUUGACCUUUACUUUCAACUUUGUGAUACACUUUCAAAGAGUCGGAUUGUUUGGGAAUGCAGUCCAAAAUGGGUGGUAAAUUUCAUCUAAAGCUAAAUAUUGGCGAGAGACCGAUAGCGAACAAGUACCGUGAGGGAAAGAUGAAAAGAACUUUGAAAAGAGAGUUAAACAGUACGUGAAAUUGUCAAAAGGGAAGCGUUUGACACCAGUGUUGUUUUUCUGAAAAUCAAUUAAAGAACUGUUUAUGCUAAGCUGUUUAGACUUUAUCAGCUAUACUGUUUAGUUUUGAGCUUUUCUUUAAUGCACUUUUCAGUUAACAAGUCAACAUCAAUUUCUUUUGCUGUAAAAAAGCUUGAGGAAGGUGGCUUGAGAUUCGUCUUAAGUGUUUAUAGCCUCUUGCCUAUGCAGUCGGAGAGAUUGAGGUCUGCAGCGUAGAUCCUUCGGGGCUAAAUGCAUUUGUGCUAAGUUAUAGCAUUUUAUAGACAACUUGUUGACUAUGAUUUGUCUUGUAGCUUACUCGCUUAUGUUAUUUUACCUACUGCUUAGGAUGUUGACGAGACUGUCGAUCUC